GUCUCUUUGAGAAUUAUUAAUAGAGAGUUGGGCCUGCUCGGUGAGAAGAAAAUUUAACAGCUGCGGUAUUAUAACUGUACUAAGGUAGCAUAAUAAUUUGCCUUAUAAAUUAAGGCUAGAAUGAAUGGUUUGACGAAAAUUAAGCUGUCUUUAUUUUAUUUAUUAGAAAUUAAUUUUUAUAGUGAAAAAGCUUGAAUGAUUUAAAGGGACGAAGAAGACCCUAUUGAGCUUAAUUAUUAAUUAUUAAAUAUAAAUUAAAGUUUUAAAGUUAUUUUAAAUGUAUUUAAUUAAAUUAGUUUUGGUUGGGUGAUCAAGGAAUAAGAAAAUUAUAAUAACUUCCUUAAAAUUUUAUUUUUUAGAAUAAUAAACCAAGUUUUUUGCUUAUAAGAUAAGUUACNAUAGGGGUAACAGCGUAAUUUUUUUUGAGAGUUCAUAUUGAAAAAAGAGAUUGCGACCUCGAUGUUGGAUUAAAAAUUACCUUAAGGUGUAGAGGCUUUAUUAGGUGAAUCUGUUCGAUUUUUAAAAUUUUAC
RNAcentral lists this ribosomal RNA (531 nucleotides) under Octopus sp. RNAcentral's name for it is "partial 16S ribosomal RNA". The stretch from base 404 to 531 matches the Rfam family "Bacterial large subunit ribosomal RNA", at positions 2473 to 2599 of the family's 2925-position model. The record is from RNAcentral. Lineage: Eukaryota; Metazoa; Mollusca; Cephalopoda; Octopoda; Octopodidae.